CCUACGGGGGACAGCAGUCGAGAAUCAUUCACAAUGGGGGAAACCCUGAUGGUGCGACGCCGCGUGGGGGAAUGAAGGUCUUCGGAUUGUAAACCCCUGUCAUGUGGGAGCAAAUUAAAAAGAUAGUACCACAAGAGGAAGAGACGGCUAACUCUGUGCCAGCAGCCGCGGUAAUACAGAGGUCUCAAGCGUUGUUCGGAAUCACUGGGCGUAAGGCGUGCGUAGGCUGUUUCGUAAGUCGCGUGUGAAAGGCGCGGGCUCAACCCGCGGACGGCACAUGAUACUGCGAGACUAGAGUAAUGGAGGGGGAACCGGAAUUCUCGGUGUAGCAGUGAAAUGCGUAGAUAUCGAGAGGAACACUCGUGGCGAAGGCGGGUUCCUGGACAUUAACUGACGCUGAGGCACGAAGGCCAGGGGAGCGAAAGGGAUUAGAUACCCCUGUAGUC
Molecule: ribosomal RNA, 446 nt
Filed under: uncultured bacterium
Lineage: Bacteria
Description: partial 16S ribosomal RNA
Rfam family: Bacterial small subunit ribosomal RNA
Source: RNAcentral